This 411-nucleotide unclassified non-coding RNA is filed under the name fungal sp. Its description in RNAcentral is "partial internal transcribed spacer region". The stretch from base 1 to 46 matches the Rfam family "Eukaryotic small subunit ribosomal RNA", at positions 1786 to 1831 of the family's 1831-position model. The record is from RNAcentral. Lineage: Eukaryota; Fungi.
AAGUCGUAACAAGGUUUCCGUAGGUGAACCUGCGGAAGGAUCAUUAACACGUAUCCAAACGUUAAACCCCCCUGUGAACCUUCAGUCGUACUCGUACCCUGGUAAAUCAUCGCCGAACAGUUUUCGAUUCAGGGACGUCUGCAAGGAGCGUGCAUGUUGUGCGUGUAAGUGGCCUGGCAUCCCCAAGCAGUUAGUGUCUGAAAGUGUCACUAACGUUAGUGUCUGAAAGUGUCACUAACAUGUGUAAGGAUGACGCAGUCACGAUCGUUGGAGGCCCACACGGCCGACGACCGGGUCACCGGGUGCAAGCCCCCUUAUCACACCCCUGCUCUAUCUAUGGUGAUCCUGCGGGAAGUCCUGCGGUCGAACGCCGAAACCGAACAACUGUUAACAAUGGAUAUCUUGGUUCUC